Molecule: non-coding RNA, 114 nt
Organism: Myodes glareolus (Bank vole)
Lineage: Eukaryota; Metazoa; Chordata; Mammalia; Rodentia; Cricetidae
Source: RefSeq, a predicted model, not a curated record
AGGACAGAGAUUAAAAAGUUACAAGACAUUUAGACAAGGCGGGCAAUAGUGAUGCCAUGUUACGAGCCUUAAGGACAGCUGAAGUCCUUAAGGUCCCUGAAAAUGGCUACAGUA